Molecule: non-coding RNA, 280 nt
Organism: Cyprinus carpio carpio
Lineage: Eukaryota; Metazoa; Chordata; Actinopteri; Cypriniformes; Cyprinidae
Gene: SCARNA6
Product: small Cajal body-specific RNA 6
Source: Ensembl
GGUCAGUGAUGAGAUGUAAAAGGUCUGAAGCCUCCGUCUCCUUCAGUCCUCCCGUCCCUCCCAGCAGCCUCUCUUCAUGUGGUCCAGCGUGCUCUAGUCGUGCAUCGCUGGUUUCAGGAGGCGGCUGAUAUUCUGGACGUUUCUGCUGUAUAUGUAGAGUCUUUUAGAGAAUUAGAAGACUUGAUAGCAGCCGCGUCAAACAGAAGCACGACACACAGGAGGGCCGGACUGAAGGAGAACGCCUGACAGGCUCGUGAUCUCAAGUUUUCAAGCUGAGACC